RNAcentral lists this ribosomal RNA (440 nucleotides) under uncultured bacterium. RNAcentral's name for it is "bacterial SSU rRNA". It matches the Rfam family "Bacterial small subunit ribosomal RNA", at positions 338 to 792 of the family's 1533-position model. The record is from RNAcentral.
CCUACGGGAGGCUGCAGUGGGGAAUAUUGGACAAUGGGGGCAACCCUGAUCCAGCAAUUCUGUGUGCACGAAGACGGUUUUCGGAUUGUAAAGUGCUUUCAGCAGGGAAGAAGGAAGUGACGGUACCUGCAGAAGAAGCGACGGCUAAAUACGUGCCAGCAGCCGCGGUAAUACGUAUGUCGCGAGCGUUAUCCGGAAUUAUUGGGCAUAAAGGGCAUCUAGGCGGCCUUUCAAGUCAGGGGUGAAAACCUGCGGCUCAACCGCAGGCCUGCCCUGGAAACUAUGUGGCUAGAGUACUGGAGAGGUGGACGGAACUGCACGAGUAGAGGUGAAAUUCGUAGAUAUGUGCAGGAAUGCCGAUGAUGAAGAUAGUUCACUGGACGGUAACUGACGCUGAAGUGCGAAAGCUAGGGGAGCAAACAGGAUUAGAUACCCUAGUA